GAAAGCCAUCAUCCUCGGCCCGCCAGGCAAUCAGGGGGAUCCAGAGGCAGAGGACCUUCAAGAGGGCAGAGGCCCAACAGGAGGAACCCCGGUGCAAAGGUGUUUUCCCCUGUGUUCAAGGUUGACAAUGUGACAUUUCAGAACAUCACUGAUGUAACCCUGAAGGAGGGAGAGAACAUAUUUCUGAUGCCGAGGCAUGGAGGAAGAGGAGCUCACAACCACAAGGGAGGAAGACAUGGGCCUCCGAAGGAUGUGCAAGUUGUGAAGCUCAUCUACAACGCCACAGAGCCGAACAAAGUUUCAGUUGAGUUUGGGCUUUUUAAACCUAAACUUGGUGAAUUUAUUGGAGAAGAAAACAAUGAUGAAGAUUAUUGACAACAAUAAAAG
Molecule: long non-coding RNA, 387 nt
Organism: Cyclopterus lumpus (lumpfish)
Lineage: Eukaryota; Metazoa; Chordata; Actinopteri; Perciformes; Cyclopteridae
Exons: 10
Source: RefSeq, a predicted model, not a curated record